RNAcentral lists this ribosomal RNA (446 nucleotides) under Staphylococcus epidermidis. RNAcentral's name for it is "bacterial SSU rRNA". It matches the Rfam family "Bacterial small subunit ribosomal RNA", at positions 45 to 473 of the family's 1533-position model. Lineage: Bacteria; Bacillati; Bacillota; Bacilli; Caryophanales; Staphylococcaceae. The record is from RNAcentral.
UGCCUAAUACAUGCAAGUCGAGCGAACAGACGAGGAGCUUGCUCCUCUGACGUUAGCGGCGGACGGGUGAGUAACACGUGGAUAACCUACCUAUAAGACUGGGAUAACUUCGGGAAACCGGAGCUAAUACCGGAUAACAUGUUGAACCGCAUGGUUCAACAGUGAAAGACGGUCUUGCUGUCACUUAUAGAUGGAUCCGCGCCGCAUUAGCUAGUUGGUAAGGUAACGGCUUACCAAGGCAACGAUGCGUAGCCGACCUGAGAGGGUGAUCGGCCACACUGGAACUGAGACACGGUCCAGACUCCUACGGGAGGCAGCAGUAGGGAAUCUUCCGCAAUGGGCGAAAGCCUGACGGAGCAACGCCGCGUGAGUGAAGAAGGUCUUCGGAUCGUAAAACUCUGUUAUUAGGGAAGAACAAAUGUGUAAGUAACUAUGCACGUCUUGAC